ACUUAAGACUUUUAUAAAGUCCUUCUCCCUCAGCUGGAGGGAGCAUGGCAUUGAGCCAAGGAGACGGGACCCUCUGCUUUGUCCUCCUGCUGUGCUGCUGGCAAGAAGUGAAGACCUGGCCAAUAAGAAUGAAUUCAGGCUCAAGUUCUGGACUGCUGUCAAGUUAGUCAAGUUUUAAAAAUAUGGAUGACGAUAUGACCACAGUAUUUGGGCUCUGCAGGUGAUGCUAAAGUACAGCCGGCUGAGAACCGCUGCCCUGGGCCAGGGCCGUCCAAUAGAAACACAGCAUGAGCUGAAGAUGUGCUUUUCAUUGUCUAGUGGCCACAUUAAAAAGAUGCAGAUGAAACUCAUUGCAAUAACAUUAUUUCACGUAAUGAUUUCAACAUGUGAUCAGUGUCAAAUUACUAAUGAGAUGUUUCAGUCUUUCCAUCACGCUGGCUCUCCGCAGUUCGAUGUGUCC
Molecule: long non-coding RNA, 460 nt
Filed under: Pan troglodytes (chimpanzee)
Lineage: Eukaryota; Metazoa; Chordata; Mammalia; Primates; Hominidae
Description: long non-coding RNA NONPTRT004613
Source: RNAcentral